AUGUACGACCAUACCCAGUGGAAAGCACGGCAUCCCGUCUGCUCUGCCUUAGUUAAGCCACUGAGGGCCCAGUUAGUAGUUGGGUCGGUGACGACCAGCGAAUCCUGGGUGUUGUACGUU
RNAcentral lists this ribosomal RNA (120 nucleotides) under Thermochaetoides thermophila DSM 1495. Lineage: Eukaryota; Fungi; Ascomycota; Sordariomycetes; Sordariales; Chaetomiaceae. The record is from RNAcentral.